UCCGCCCGCUGGCGGCGUGCUUAACACAUGCAAGUCGAACGGAAAGGCCCUGCUUUUGUGGGGUGCUCGAGUGGCGAACGGGUGAGUAACACGUGAGUAACCUGCCCUUGACUUUGGGAUAACUUCAGGAAACUGGGGCUAAUACCGGAUAGGAGCUCCUGCUGCAUGGUGGGGGUUGGAAAGUUUCGGCGGUUGGGAUGGACUCGCGGCUUAUCAGCUUGUUGGUGGGGUAGUGGCUUACCAAGGCUUUGACGGGUAGCCGGCCUGAGAGGGUGACCGGCCACAUUGGGACUGAGAUACGGCCCAGACUCCUACGGGAGGCAGCAGUGGGGAAUAUUGCACAAUGGGCGGGAGCCUGAAGCAGCAACGCCGCGUGCGGGAUGACGGCCUUCGGGUUGUAAACCGCUUUCGCCUGUGGCGACGCGUGAGUGACGGUAAUGAGUAAAGAAGCACCGGGUAGCUACGUG
Molecule: ribosomal RNA, 467 nt
Filed under: uncultured bacterium
Lineage: Bacteria
Description: partial 16S ribosomal RNA
Rfam family: Bacterial small subunit ribosomal RNA
Source: RNAcentral